CCAUGGCUGCAGCAACUUCUCAGUGCCUGGACGGCAGAACACAGUGAAAUGAAUCCCAGAGAAUGAAUUUCCUAAGAGGCUCUUUUUAAAGAUGGGCCCCAGAAGUUUCCUUCUCCAAUGAAAGUUUAUACUUUUGUACCCUGAAAUAGCUCUCCAAACCAUCUCUCCUUGCCCUGGCUCCAAAAGUGGGGCUGGUCCUCGUUCAUGGAAAAGAAGCAGGCAGUGAAAGGUUGGGUGGAUUGGAUCCAUCUGGGAACGUGAAACUUGUUAAACCUCAACAUUUGUAUGACAGAAGGACUUUCAUUUACAGAACCAAAUGUGCAAGAAUGGAUCCUUGGAAUCACUCUGGCGGCCAAAUCAUCUCCUCAGUCCCAGCCACACUUGCACCUUGCCAGUGAUGGGGACAAAAUGGUGGACCCCCAAGAGAGACUGAGAAGGGGAAAAAUGAAGGGAAAAAAAUUUCAGUCAGGUGAGCCGACUUCAUAGUUCUCCUGAAAGACUCGCCAAAACACAAGAGAUGUAAGCAGAAAUGGAAUACUUCACCAGUCCAGAAAUAGAACCACAGAGUAGAAAUGUAAAAGGC
This is a long non-coding RNA of Chinchilla lanigera (long-tailed chinchilla), 583 nucleotides long. RefSeq lists it as uncharacterized. Lineage: Eukaryota; Metazoa; Chordata; Mammalia; Rodentia; Chinchillidae. The record is from RefSeq and is a predicted model, not a curated record. The transcript is spliced from 3 exons.